GCUGGCAUAAUGAUGAUGACCCUUUGCCGUUUACCCAGCUGAGUUCUGUGAUGAAUAAUGUUCUAUCUGAUGUGCCAGC
Molecule: small nucleolar RNA, 79 nt
Filed under: Acanthisitta chloris (rifleman)
Lineage: Eukaryota; Metazoa; Chordata; Aves; Passeriformes; Acanthisittidae
Description: Small nucleolar RNA SNORD87
Rfam family: Small nucleolar RNA SNORD87
About the family: U87 (HBII-276) is a member of the C/D class of snoRNA which contain the C (UGAUGA) and D (CUGA) box motifs. Most of the members of the box C/D family function in directing site-specific 2'-O-methylation of substrate RNAs.
Source: Rfam by way of RNAcentral